UAAAUUAACCCUCAAUAUACAACAAGAGGCAAGUAAUUCUUUUGCUUUCAGAUACAGGUGAAACUAAGGCAGAAGUUGUUCAAAGCCACACAUGGUAUAGGCUUAAAUUUCUGUUGAUUCUGGCUCCCAGGACACCUGCUUGACAAUCUAGCUAUCUAGUCCAAGAUUGUUACUCAGAGGCCAGAAUGUCAACAAGCAUUUCAUGACCCUUUGUCUUCCACUGACCAGCAAACAACAUACAACAGUCAUCAUCAGACAUCAUGCAACAGCAUAGUUUCUUCAGUGCAAUCAAAGGCCAAGCACACAAAGAGCUGUCCCUCUGAGGUCCUAGGAUGGAACAACACUUCUUAAAGACAGUUCCACCAUCAAUGCAUGGUGGAAGUAACCCUCCAAGAGCUUUUGAACUGAUACUCUACUAUCAAAGUUAAUACCACCAAAGCCAUUCCACAACACCUCAUUAAGGACUACCUUACAGAUCCACCAACCUAUCAAGAGGCCUUGAAAGCCACAGAGUGGAUGAAGAACAACAAAGCGUGUGGUCUUGAUGGUAUACCAGCUGAAAUGUAUAUGCAUGGUGGAGAAAAAAGCUCCCUUACCAACUCCAAACCACUACUCUAAAAAUCUAAAAACACGAACAAAUUCCCAGUGCCUUGAGAGAUGUCAGGAUUGUAGCCAUGUUCAAGAAAGAAGAAAGAUUGGAUUGCAGCACUUUCUACGGCCUUGCAUUCCUAUCCAUAGCAGGGAAGAUUCUUGCCUACAUUCCUCAAUAGAUUCACUCCUUUCACCAAGGAGAUUUUACCUGAGUCCCAAAGUAGCUUCAAACCAUUCAGAGACAUGAUCUUUGUUGUUAGAGAGCUGCAGAAGAAGUGCCAUGAAUAAUACAUGAAUAAUAGAGACCUUCUCCUGGCCUUCACUGACCUAAGGCCUUUGAUUCAGUCAACAGAGAGGCCCUAUGGAAGAUCCUGAUGAGAUUUGGAUGCCCACCAGAAGUGUUUGGACUCAAUGUCAAUCCUCCAUAUCAACUGGAAGGACAGCAGAACAAAAGCCAGCAUUCUGGCUCAAGUAAAUACCACCAGCAUCGAAGCCAUGUUCAUACAGCACCAGCUCAGUUGGACAGGACACAGACAACCAGCUCCUGAAAUGGGUCCUGCACUCCAGCUCACUUUGGUUACCACUAUAGAGUGAUUUAUUAAGUCUUUGCUGGUCCCUUCUUCUGAGGAAGGGCAUCAUUCCACAAUGAAACCCAGUUAAUAAUGCAACAUUGCAGCAUUUGGAAAAUGAAAAUGAACUCGCACAGAUGGGGAAAGUCAAGGCAUGGAGAAUCUAUAUGGCCAAAGUCAUGCACAGCUAAAGUCAUGUACAGAGUCAUAGAAUCGAAGGACCAAAAGGGACCUGCAAGAUCAUCAAGUCCGGUCCCCUGCCAUAGGCAGGAAGUUAUUGGGCUCAAGUGAGCUCAACAAGGUGCAAGAUCAUCAAGUUUCGAAUAAAACGCAAGUAUCCCAAUUCCCACAUCAAGAAUGUAUUCACUUAGCCAUUCUGCUACUGAUAAAUCAAAAAGUAUUUUAUAUCAGA
Molecule: long non-coding RNA, 1572 nt
Organism: Gavialis gangeticus (Gharial)
Lineage: Eukaryota; Metazoa; Chordata; Crocodylia; Gavialidae
Exons: 3
Source: RefSeq, a predicted model, not a curated record